This 421-nucleotide ribosomal RNA is filed under the name uncultured bacterium. RNAcentral describes it as "bacterial SSU rRNA". It matches the Rfam family "Bacterial small subunit ribosomal RNA", at positions 948 to 1363 of the family's 1533-position model. The record is from RNAcentral.
UUUACGGGGGGAACGCGAAGAACCUUACCAAAUCUUGACAUCCUUUGAAAACUCUAGAGAUAGAGCCUUCCCCUUCGGGGGACAAAGUGACAGGUGGUGCAUGGUUGUCGUCAGCUCGUGUCGUGAGAUGUUGGGUUAAGUCCCGCAACGAGCGCAACCCUUAAGCUUAGUUGCCAUCAUUAAGUUGGGCACUCUAGGUUGACUGCCGGUGACAAACCGGAGGGAGGUGGGGAUGACGUCAAAUCAUCAUGCCCCUUAUGAUUUGGGCUACACACGUGCUACAAUGGACAAUACAAAGGGCAGCUAAACCGCGAGGUCAUGCAAAUCCCAUAAAGUUGUUCUCAGUUCGGAUUGUAGUCUGCAACUCGACUACAUGAAGCUGGAAUCGCUAGUAAUCGUAGAUCAGAAUGGCAGAAGUCCU